Molecule: ribosomal RNA, 301 nt
Filed under: uncultured bacterium
Lineage: Bacteria
Description: partial 16S ribosomal RNA
Rfam family: Bacterial small subunit ribosomal RNA
Source: RNAcentral
CAGUAGCCGCGGUAAUACGAAGGGGGCUAGCGUUGCUCGGAAUGACUGGGCGUAAAGGGCGCGUAGGCGGUCACGAUAGUCAGAUGUGAAAUUCCUGGGCUUAACCUGGGGACUGCAUUUGAUACUGUGUGGCUUGAGUGUGGAAGAGGGUCGUGGAAUUCCCAGUGUAGAGGUGAAAUUCGUAGAUAUUGGGAAGAACACCGGUGGCGAAGGCGACUCUCUGGUCUGUAACUGACGCUGAGGAGCGAAAGCGUGGGGAGCGAACAGGAUUAGAUACCCCCGUAGUCCCUGUCUCUUAUAC